This 547-nucleotide ribosomal RNA is filed under the name uncultured bacterium. RNAcentral's name for it is "bacterial SSU rRNA". It matches the Rfam family "Bacterial small subunit ribosomal RNA", at positions 355 to 896 of the family's 1533-position model. The record is from RNAcentral.
UGGGGAAUAUUGCGCAAUGGGGGGAACCCUGACGCAGCCAUGCCGCGUGAAUGAAGAAGGCCUUCGGGUUGUAAAGUUCUUUCGGUAUUGAGGAAGGUUGAUGUGUUAAUAGCACAUCAAAUUGACGUUAAAUACAGAAGAAGCACCGGCUAACUCCGUGCCAGCAGCCGCGGUAAUACGGAGGGUGCGAGCGUUAAUCGGAAUAACUGGGCGUAAAGGGCACGCAGGCGGUUAUUUAAGUGAGGUGUGAAAGCCCCGGGCUUAACCUGGGAAUUGCAUUUCAGACUGGGUAACUAGAGUACUUUAGGGAGGGGUAGAAUUCCACGUGUAGCGGUGAAAUGCGUAGAGAUGUGGAGGAAUACCGAAGGCGAAGGCAGCCCCUUGGGAAUGUACUGACGCUCAUGUGCGAAAGCAUGGGGAGCAAACAGGAUUAGAUACCCUGGUAGUCCACGCUGUAAACGCUGUCGAUUUGGGGGUUGGGGUUUAACUCUGGCGCCCGUAGCUAACGUGAUAAAUCGACCGCCUGGGGAGUACGGCCGCAAGGUUA